RNAcentral lists this ribosomal RNA (500 nucleotides) under uncultured bacterium. RNAcentral's name for it is "bacterial SSU rRNA". It matches the Rfam family "Bacterial small subunit ribosomal RNA", at positions 15 to 518 of the family's 1533-position model. The record is from RNAcentral.
GAUUAUGGCUCAGGAUGAACGCUGGCGGCGUGCUAACACAUGCAAGUCGAGCGAGAAUUACUUAAUGACGCUCGGUAGAUUAGAGUAAGGAAAGCGGCGGACGGGUGAGUAACGCGUGGGAAACCUGCCCUUCACAGGGGGACAGCCGAGGGAAACUUCGAUUAAUACCUCAUAACGCAUAGGAGUCGCAUGGCGCUUAUGCCAAAGAUUUAUCGGUGAAGGAUGGUCCCGCGUCUGAUUAGCUAGUUGGUGAGGCAGCGGCUCACCAAGGCGACGAUCAGUAGCCGGCCUGAGAGGGUGAACGGCCACAUUGGAACUGAGACACGGUCCAGACUCCUACGGGAGGCAGCAGUGGGGAAUAUUGCACAAUGGGCGCAAAGCCUGAUGCAGCAACGCCGCGUGAAGGAAGAAGGCCUUCGGGUCGUAAACUUCUGUCCAAGGGGAAGAAACCUGACGGUACCCUUGGAGGAAGCCCCGGCUAACUACGUGCCAGCAGCAGC